This is a long non-coding RNA of Macaca mulatta (Rhesus monkey), 4866 nucleotides long. RefSeq lists it as uncharacterized. The record is from RefSeq and is a predicted model, not a curated record. NCBI's taxonomy places the organism in Eukaryota, Metazoa, Chordata, Mammalia, Primates, Cercopithecidae.
CCAAAGAUAUGCUAAAAACCAGCACAUUGUGUUAUGUGAAAUGUUUCGCUUGUCUCUUGGAAUGAUUGAUGUGAACCUGAGAAGAAUUUGAAAUGUGAGCAGCCAAGCAACCAGAAAUUAAGACCUUAUCUAAAAUUUAGGCAAAAACUCCAGACCACUGUAGUUAGGAAAUCGGGUUAGAAAUCUCCUGAGAAGUGACUUUCCCACAAGAUUUCUGCUGUUUCCUAGUUCUGAGUGGAUGAGAAAUAUGACAAAAAUGUACCAUUGCUUUUAGUAUCGCCUGUCCCUUUUUCUGGUUUGGGGUGAAAGUAGGAAACCAAGAGAUGCAAACAAACGGAUACACAAGUGUCCCUCCCGGGAGUCACCCUGGUUUUCGGGUUGCGGGAAUGUCGCAGGGUUUCUGUUUUCCAAGCUUUCUUUUCUGUUCCCAGAACCUCGGCCUGCAGGGAUGUGGCAUUGUUGUCACAGUGGAUGCGGGUGGCUGGACGCUUGCUCCCCUCGGGUGACCAGAACCUCGGCCUGCAGCGGAUGUGGCACUGUUGUCACAGUGGAUGCGGGUGGCUGGACGCUUGCUCCCCUCGGGUGACCAGAACCUCGGCCUGCAGCGGAUGUGGCACUGUUGUCACAGUGGAUGCGGGUGGCUGGAUGCUUGCUCCCCUCGGGUGACUUGACUUCAACUUCUGGCUGGUUCAGAGGGAAAGCAAGACUCGUGGUCUUGAUGGCCCCCGUUUUUGUGGGCAUCUGUUCGCGUGGGCCUUGCAUGCACAGCCUGCCCUGCAGAGCUGGUGGGCAUCCCAGCAAAGUCCCAGAGCAGAAUGGGGGGAUCCCAGUGGGGGCUGCGGGGAGGCUGGUGGUGGCCUUGCUGUACUUACCUUUGCCCACAGCUGGAAGUUAGUGCUUCAGGUGUGAGCACGUGUUCACACUUCCCCUGCACCAGGAGUCUCCACACACCCAGUGCCUGGGCAUGCAUUUAUGCUGUGGGACGUGGGAGCACUGGGGACUGUGUAGACAAAGCCACACCUGUACCUGGGCAGGAAGCAGAGCAGGGAAUGUGCUUGGGGGUCUGUGCAUCCGUGCAUGUGUGUGUGCAUGUGCAUGUGUGUGUGCAUGUGUGUCCAUGUACGUGUGUGCAUGCAUGUGGACGUGUGUGUAUAUGUGUAUGUGUGUCUGUGCAAAAUGGAGCUGUGGUGAUCUAGUCUGCUAGAUUCUAGGGGUUAUAACUGACUUCAGGAUGGAUCACAAGUAGCUGCAUCUCUGACAAGCUAACCUUCCUGCGCUGAUCCGUGCAGGCUAUUUCUAUGACGAAUUGGAUUUGCUCCCAAACAGCCCAUUCUUGGGGAAAUGCAUUGCAUUUCUUCUUUUUUGGAUAAACGAUACGGCCUGAGAUGUGGGCUGGCUCCUCCCCUGGCUGAGCCGGGUAAAGAUGCAGCAGGGUUUAGGGACACGAUGGGUGAUGGUAACGCUGGAUGAGGGCAGCCAGUGGUUACAGGAAGCUGAAAGGUGAGAGUGCUGUGGCAAAGGCCGGCUGGAGAAGAACUGUCACCUUAGCUCAGGGGACAAAGCCCGUCAGAAGCAACUCCUCAGGAAGGAAGCUGGGGAACAAAUACCCUGACCUCACUCUCUAUCACCAAGGCCAACGGGAAGUCAGAGGACAGAAGCCCACUGGGGAGGCCCAUGCCAGGAUGGAGGACAUGCAGCAUGGACCGUGGGAACCAGAACAGAAGAACCCGUGGUGCAGACACCGAGAGUGCCGCGCGUGAGGCCACGGAGAGCUGCAGCCCUCGGCCAGGACCUCUGUGUCCCAGCUUUGAAAGCCUUUCAAAGCCUUUGAAAAAUAGGACUGCUUGCACCAAAUAGGGAUUUUAUUGUCACCUGGAGAGCGUGGCUUACAUUUCGAUGGGAGAAGACAAGGAACGUUUUGGAGCAUAGAGCGUGCUUCCCAGUCUCUGGAAGGACGGCACAGUAGAAAAGGGGUACCCCCAGCCCCGAACACGUCGCAAGCCAAGCUAUAAAUAAAGGAUGGACUGACCUCAUCAACUGUUAAAUUGGAGCCAUGAUGCGUUGCCUGGAACAUCGCGGAUGACUCCGAGCAGCACAGCAGACCAACGGCUGAGAAAGAGCUCAUUUGGUUCAUCUAACUAGGAUGCCGUCCUGCCAGAGCCCUGGGGGUUCUCAUCUCCUGGGGCAAGAGCAGCAUGCAACCCUUAUGAACCCAUCUUGGAGGGCAGUCGGGGAGCCCAAGACAAGACCAUUGGGAGCCUCAGGUUCACUCUAGGUGGUCUCUGUGCUGGAGAGCUGUAUCUCUCAUGAAAAGGACAGCUGACCAUAAGAAGGAGGUAAGUUACUCACGGACAGGAAAAUAAGAAGCUCCUACUUACGGCUGUGAUAUGCGUGGUAGCCAUUUAAUGUUAACGGCAUCCAUGUGAGACAGGUGCUAGUACUACCCCAUUUCAUAUUGGAGGACAUGUAGGCACACAGAUUGUGUGACUUGCCCAAGGCUGCCCACCUGGUUAGGGGAGCUCCAGGAUUCCAAUCCAGUCUGAACUCAACACCCGGGGUGGCACCUACAGGCUGGGGUCAACCUGGAUGACUGCCUGUUGUAUGGCCUGGCAACUAAAAAUUGUUUUAUACAUUUUGAAAUGGUUGAAAAAAUUAAAAUAAGACGAUAUUUCAUGACAUCAUGAAAUUACAUGAAAUGCAAGUUUCAGCAUCUACAAAUACAGUUUGACUGGGACAUAGCCACUCUCAUCUGUUUGUAGGCUAUCCAUGGCUGCUUACAGGGUCCACAUGGUCCACAAAGCCUGAGAUAUUUACUCUCUGGCCUUUUACAGAAGAAGUCACCAAACACUAUUCUAAAAUGUUAGCAUGCAUCAGAACCCCUUGUGGGGCUUGUUAGAAUGCAGCUUCCUGGCCCCACACCCAGUCUCUGAUUCAGUAAGUCUGGGGCAGGGCCUGGGAAUUUCAUUUCUAAAAAAUUUCCCAGGUGAUGCUCAUGCUGGUCCACAGAUCACUUUGAGAGCCACUACCCUGAACUCCAGUGCUCUACUGCUUGUCAUCAGGGUGGCCAAGUCUUUCUCACCAUGGCACCAUGGUGAGUGCCAAAGAAGCCUAGACAUCCCUAGUGCCACCUGCUGUGCAGCCACCUUUUGAGAAAGUGUCCCCAGUGAUCUUUUCCCAGGUUAGCCUUUGUGGCUCGGGCAGCUGGCUUUUCAGAGAUGUGAAACCACACAUCUUCAGAGUGAACAGCUGCUUGCCCUGAUGUGCUCAAGGGGUGCAGGAUGUGGACACAUCCUAGUGAAUGAGUCGGACAAUGUAACCAGAUCUGUCCACAACAACCCGAUGGGUGACAUUGCCAUCUGCAGCAGUGCUGUACUUCCUCCCACUGAUUUGUAAAGUGCAGUCAGGACGCUAGAUCAACUCGCUGCUGCUGAGGCCAGUGACCUCUAGGGUAUAUUUCCAUGUUCUAUGCAGUAGAUGCUCGCCUUUGUAAGCAUGUGAGUUAUUCAUGCUGUCUGUUGUGAUCCUAAGGAAUCCAACAGUCAGAACUAGAACUUCUGAAUUACAGCACAGCAUUGCUGUUUGGCGUCACCAGAAAGCAGAUUUUGAGAUUAGCAUGGGGGCCAUUAAGCGGGGCAUUCUCUCUGGAGCAAUGUCUAGCCGGGGUGGGACUGGGGAGAGGGAGAAGUGGGCUGCUGAGGAUAUCACAGAGAGAUGGCAGCCUUUCUGCAGCAAAGGCCUGAGUGCACACUCACCUGGCUAUCACUGAGAGGACCCUCUGUUCAACAGGGCCACUCGGGGGUUCCCCUGCAUGGAGAUCUGAGUGUCCAGGGAGGGGACGUGGUGAGCAUUUCUCUGUUCAAAGGAUGCAAAGGAAAAUCUGCCCCAUUCCUGCCAAAGUGGUUGAUAUGGAGGAAAGGGGAGUGCCAGUUCUAUAGGCUGAGGUGGUGGCUGUUAGAACUGCUCCUGGGCUAGUUGGUGCUCUGGAAGUUUCCCCUCUAUGUGAGAUAAAAGAGCAUAUCUUUAAGAGCUGCAACUUUGAAGCUCUAAUAUAGAAUGCUUUUAGUGGCAAGCAAUACUUUGGAAGCAGCUUGAAGACCCCUGAAGAUCCUUGGUGACCUAGGCAGUUCCUUUAUUGCCAGGGCUGUGCAGGACUAAGCUUCAACAGCGCCACCAUGGGGCAGCAGAAGUAAUUGCAGUGGUGCAUUGAGGGUUUUCUUUUGCACUGAGGACUCAAGCCCCACCUUCACCUUUGGACCUGGUAAAUCUUUGGGGUUCAUGGACAAUUCUGAGAAGGAGAUACUUAAGAGAGUGAUGUUAGAAUUUGAUGUUUUGGUUUAUUGUAUCAGAAAAUAAAAGAGGUUGGAUUUAUAACUCAGUUUGUGGUUCAUAUCAAUUUAAAUAGCUUUGAAAUGCUGAUAGGACCAUCAUGGUUUUUUGGUUGCUGAAAUCCCAUAACGAAAGCAAUGCCUCAAUAAGCUUUUAAUCCACAGCUCCCACACCCAGGUCUAUAACAAAGUUUUUACAUGCCUAUGGGGAAAAAGAAUUAUGAGGCAAACAUUUAUAAAGUUAACUUUAUUACAUUUCUAGUCCUAUUUUUUUAUUCUGCUAGUGUAUUGUUAUGUAUUUUCCUACAUAUUUAGGGCAAACAUUUUCUUCCUCUUAUAAAAUGUUAGUGAUUUUAAAUGAUGGGAUUUUAAAAAAUGUUUUUACUUGGCAAAUAAAGACUUAGCAGCCUAAUACCUACCUCUCAAAAUAUUUGUAAAUUGUACUGAUCUAUAAAAUCUAUUAAGUAUGAGAUUUGUUGAUAUGAUGACUCAUAAAAGCAAUGUAAUCCAAAUUAAAAUUUGUAAAAUGCUGCAUAAUUUA